This 497-nucleotide ribosomal RNA is filed under the name uncultured bacterium. Its description in RNAcentral is "partial 16S ribosomal RNA". It matches the Rfam family "Bacterial small subunit ribosomal RNA", at positions 28 to 507 of the family's 1533-position model. The record is from RNAcentral.
GACGAACGCUGGCGGCGUGCCUAAUACAUGCAAGUAGAACGCUGAAGAGAGGAGCUUGCUCUUCUUGGAUGAGUUGCGAACGGGUGAGUAACGCGUAGGUAACCUGCCUUGUAGCGGGGGAUAACUAUUGGAAACGAUAGCUAAUACCGCAUAACAAUGGAUGACACAUGUCAUUUAUUCGAAAGGGGCAAUUGCUCCACUACAAGAUGGACCUGCGUUGUAUUAGCUAGUAGGUGAGGUAAUGGCUCACCUAGGCGACGAUACAUAGCCGACCUGAGAGGGUGAUCGGCCACACUGGGACGGAGACACGGCCCAGACUCCUACGGGAGGCAGCAGUAGGGAAUCUUCGGAAAUGGGGGCAACCCUGACCGAGCAACGCCGCGUGAGUGAAGAAGGUUUUCGGAUCGUAAAGCUCUGUUGUAAGUCAAGAACGGGUGUGAGAGUGGAAAGUUCACACUGUGACGGUAGCUUACCAGAAAGGGACGGCUAACUACGUG